This 1105-nucleotide long non-coding RNA is filed under the name Phoenix dactylifera (date palm). Its description in RNAcentral is "long non-coding RNA (PDAC_LNC008507)". Lineage: Eukaryota; Viridiplantae; Streptophyta; Magnoliopsida; Arecales; Arecaceae. The record is from RNAcentral.
GCCUGCCAUGGGCUGGAACGUGGGCGGUACUAGUCCAGUGCCGGAAUGAUAAUGUUGUUAGAAUCUAAACUAUGUUAACCGAUUAAUGACAAGUAAUCUCAUUGAAUUACUGUUAAAUAGAAUUGUUGAUUGGGUGGUAUGUGACAUGUUUACACAAAAAUAUGGUGAUAUAUGGCAUGUAUCUUGAGACUUUCAUUUAUGGUGAUAUGUAUGUAAUUGAGUUGCUAUAUGGUUAAACUUGAUUUGUAUGCUGGCAUGGCUUAUAUGUGUGUUCUAUAAAUAUAACCACUGAAUCCGUUAAGCAUUAGUUAAUUAUUAGAUUGUUGAUGUAGGAAUCUUACUAUAUUUUUAUAUCUUUAUAUUUGCUAAAAGAUGUUUUCAUAUUCAUGCUGGCGUGGAGGAUUCUUUCUGAGUUGUAAAACUUAUAUACUUGUUGCAUUUUUUGUCCAGAGUCGUAGGAUGUCUAGUUUCAGAUGGGUUUGGACAUGAAGUUCGAGUGAUGGAAUCUUAAGUUAGUUAAUUUAUUUUCUAAUACUAAUGAACGGUUGAAAAUUUUGUAAUUGAACAAGUUAGUUAUUUAAAUCAUAGUUGAUUUAUUUAGUUAGAUUAUUUGGCUAUUAACAGUUGAAUUAAAUUUUUAUAGAUUUCUAGGGCAUCACUCUGGGGUUUAGGUGGCCGUGUCAUGUGGUCGAUCUAGGUGACAGUUUCGGGGCAUGAUAAAAGUGGUAUCAUGUCUGGUGAUGAGAUAUUUCCUGCUACUUGUUUUCCUAGGUUUCUUGUGUUUCCACCUGGUAGCUCUUUGGGGACAUCAACAAAGAGAGCCAGAGACAAACAGCAAGAAACAAAAAGGCUGUAUCCAACAUGGCGAUUUGCAUCAUAACAAACUAAUGCAGCAAGCUUCUCUUUAUGGCCUGGUAGUUGCAUGCUCCUGGGUCUAAAGAAUCCCCUGAUGUUAAGAGGCCAGUUAGCUCUUGGUUAUGUAGUUGGAUGUGAUCCUCCAGGCUAGCUGUCCAUUGGUGUUGAUUGUUUAGGUAUCCUAAGAGAAUGAUAAUAGUCGGCUGUCCACAUUUUAAAGGUUUGAUUUGGUGAUCUCAACCUGCAGGUU